RNAcentral lists this ribosomal RNA (181 nucleotides) under uncultured Staphylococcus sp. RNAcentral describes it as "partial 16S ribosomal RNA". It matches the Rfam family "Bacterial small subunit ribosomal RNA", at positions 159 to 334 of the family's 1533-position model. Lineage: Bacteria; Bacillati; Bacillota; Bacilli; Caryophanales; Staphylococcaceae. The record is from RNAcentral.
GGAGCUAAUACCGGAUAAGAUUUUGAACCGCAUGGUUCAAUAGUGAAAGACGGCCUUGCUGUCACUUAUAGAUGGAUCCGCGCCGUAUUAGCUAGUUGGUAAGGUAACGGCUUACCAAGGCAACGAUACGUAGCCGACCUGAGAGGGUGAUCGGCCACACUGGAACUGAGACACGGUCCAG